Molecule: microRNA precursor, 207 nt
Organism: Oryza sativa Japonica Group (Japanese rice)
Lineage: Eukaryota; Viridiplantae; Streptophyta; Magnoliopsida; Poales; Poaceae
Rfam family: MIR812 microRNA precursor family
Source: Rfam
AAUAAGCGCAACCAUGAGUUUCUGUGUCUAAUUUUGAUUGUCCGUCUUAUUUGAAACUUUUUUAUGAUUAGUAUUUUUUGUUAUUAUUAGAUUAUAAAACAUGAAUAAUACUUUAUGUGUGACUUAUGUUUUUUUAGUUUUCUUUAAAAAAAAUUAAAUAAGACGAACAAUUAAAGUUGGAUACGAAAACUCAUGGCUGCGCUUAUU